RNAcentral lists this ribosomal RNA (1109 nucleotides) under fungal sp. 59 SAB-2015. RNAcentral describes it as "eukaryotic LSU rRNA". The stretch from base 509 to 1109 matches the Rfam family "Eukaryotic large subunit ribosomal RNA", at positions 1 to 603 of the family's 3401-position model. Lineage: Eukaryota; Fungi. The record is from RNAcentral.
CGUGACCUGCGGAAGGAUCAUUACCUGGCCUUGGGCCACUCCCGCAUGGCGCUCGCGCCUUCGGGGGUGCUUAGCCCUCGACUAUCACCUUGACUAUGCGUACCUUUGUUGUUUCCUCGGCAGGUCUCCUGCCGCCAGGAACCCUCUAUAACCCUUUUGGAAUGGCAUCAAACUGAAACAAACCACAAUUAUUUACAACUUUCAACAAUGGAUCUCUUGGUUCUGGCAUCGAUGAAGAACGCAGCGAAAUGCGAUAAGUAGUGUGAAUUGCAGAAUUCAGUGAAUCAUCGAAUCUUUGAACGCACAUUGCGCCCCUCGGUAUUCCGUGGGGCAUGCCUGUUCGAGCGUCAUUUACCCCCUCAAGCUCUGCUUGGUGUUGGGCGCCUGUCCCGCCUCGUGCGCGGACUCGCCUAGAAGACAUUGGCGGCGGUCGUGCCAGCUUCUCGCGCAGCACAUUGCGCUUCUCGAGGCUUCGGCGGACCAGCGUCCAGCAAGUCCACCUCCAGUUUGACCUCGGAUCAGGUAGGGAUACCCGCUGAACUUAAGCAUAUCAAUAAGCGGAGGAAAAGAAACCAACAGGGAUUGCCCUAGUAACGGCGAGUGAAGCGGCAACAGCUCAAAUUUGAAAUCUGGCCUCCUCCGGUGGUCCGAGUUGUAAUUUGCAGAGGGUGCUUUGGCGUCGGCAGCGGUCUAAGUUCCUUGGAACAGGACAUCACAGAGGGUGAGAAUCCCGUACGUGGUCGCCUGCCUUCGCCGUGUAAAGCCCCUUCGACGAGUCGAGUUGUUUGGGAAUGCAGCUCUAAAUGGGAGGUAAAUUUCUUCUAAAGCUAAAUACUGGCCAGAGACCGAUAGCGCACAAGUAGAGUGAUCGAAAGAUGAAAAGCACUUUGGAAAGAGAGUCAAACAGCACGUGAAAUUGUUGAAAGGGAAGCGCUUGCAGCCAGACUUGCCCGUAGUUGCUCAUCGGAACUUUUGCUCCGAGCACUCUUCUGCGGGCAGGCCAGCAUCAGUUUGGGCGACCGGAUAAUGGCCUCUGUCAUGUAUCUUCCUUCGGGAUGACCUUAUAGGGGAGGCGUAAUGCGGCCAGCCCGGACUGAGGUCCGCGCAUC